GACGAACGCUGGCGGCGUGCCUAAUACAUGCAAGUAGAACGCUGAAGAGAGGAGCUUGCUCUUCUUGGAUGAGUUGCGAACGGGUGAGUAACGCGUAGGUAACCUGCCUUGUAGCGGGGGAUAACUAUUGGAAACGAUAGCUAAUACCGCAUAACAAUGGAUGACACAUGUCAUUUAUUUGAAAGGGGCAAUUGCUCCACUACAAGAUGGACCUGCGUUGUAUUAGCUAGUAGGUGAGGUAACGGCUCACCUAGGCGACGAUACAUAGCCGACCUGAGAGGGUGAUCGGCCACACUGGGACUGAGACACGGCCCAGACUCCUACGGGAGGCAGCAGUAGGGAAUCUUCGGCAAUGGGGGCAACCCUGACCGAGCAACGCCGCGUGAGUGAAGAAGGUUUUCGGAUCGUAAAGCUCUGUUGUAAGUCAAGAACGAGUGUGAGAGUGGAAAGUUCACACUGUGACGGUAGCUUACCAGAAAGGGACGGCUAACUACGUGCCAGCAGCCGCGGUAAUACGUAGGUCCCGAGCGUUGUCCGGAUUUAUUGGGCGUAAAGCGAGCGCAGGCGGUUUGAUAAGUCUGAAGUUAAAGGCUGUGGCUCAACCAUAGUUCGCUUUGGAAACUGUCAAACUUGAGUGCAGAAGGGGAGAGUGGAAUUCCAUGUGUAGCGGUGAGAUGCGUAGAUAUAUGGAGGAACACCGGUGGCGAAAGCGGCUCUCUGGUCUGUAACUGACGCUGAGGCUCGAAAGCGUGGGGAGCGAACAGGAUUAGAUACCCUGGUAGUCCACGCCGUAAACGAUGAGUGCUAGGUGUUGGAUCCUUUCCGGGAUUCAGUGCCGCAGCUAACGCAUUAAGCACUCCGCCUGGGGAGUACGACCGCAAGGUUGAAACUCAAAGGAAUUGACGGGGGCCCGCACAAGCGGUGGAGCAUGUGGUUUAAUUCGAAGCAACGCGAAGAACCUUACCAGGUCUUGACAUCCCGAUGCUAUUUCUAGAGAUAGAAAGUUACUUCGGUACAUCGGUGACAGGUGGUGCAUGGUUGUCGUCAGCUCGUGUCGUGAGAUGUUGGGUUAAGUCCCGCAACGAGCGCAACCCCUAUUGUUAGUUGCCAUCAUUCAGUUGGGCACUCUAGCGAGACUGCCGGUAAUAAACCGGAGGAAGGUGGGGAUGACGUCAAAUCAUCAUGCCCCUUAUGACCUGGGCUACACACGUGCUACAAUGGUUGGUACAACGAGUUGCGAGUCGGUGACGGCAAGCUAAUCUCUUAAAGCCAAUCUCAGUUCGGAUUGUAGGCUGCAACUCGCCUACAUGAAGUCGGAAUCGCUAGUAAUCGCGGAUCAGCACGCUGCGGUGAAUACGUUCCCGGGCCU
RNAcentral lists this ribosomal RNA (1369 nucleotides) under uncultured bacterium. RNAcentral describes it as "bacterial SSU rRNA". It matches the Rfam family "Bacterial small subunit ribosomal RNA", at positions 28 to 1381 of the family's 1533-position model. The record is from RNAcentral.